AUUGAACGCUGGCGGCAUGCCUUACACAUGCAAGUCGAACGGCAGCACGGGAGCAAUCCUGGUGGCGAGUGGCGAACGGGUGAGUAAUAUAUCGGAACGUGCCCAGUCGUGGGGAUAACGUAGCGAAAGCUACGCUAAUACCGCAUACGAUCUACGGAUGAAAGCGGGGGAUCGCAAGACCUCGCGCGAUUGGAGCGGCCGAUAUCAGAUUAGGUAGUUGGUGAGGUAAAGGCUCACCAAGCCGACGAUCUGUAGCUGGUCUGAGAGGACGAUCAGCCACACUGGGACUGAGACACGGCCCAGACUCCUACGGGAGGCAGCAGUGGGGAAUUUUGGACAAUGGGCGCAAGCCUGAUCCAGCAAUGCCGCGUGCAGGAUGAAGGCCUUC
This 388-nucleotide ribosomal RNA is filed under the name uncultured bacterium. RNAcentral describes it as "bacterial SSU rRNA". It matches the Rfam family "Bacterial small subunit ribosomal RNA", at positions 30 to 419 of the family's 1533-position model. The record is from RNAcentral.